Molecule: non-coding RNA, 813 nt
Organism: Chlorocebus sabaeus (green monkey)
Lineage: Eukaryota; Metazoa; Chordata; Mammalia; Primates; Cercopithecidae
Source: RefSeq, a predicted model, not a curated record
CACCACUGCACUCUAGCCUGGGCGACAGAGCGAGAAUCUGUCUCAAAAACUAACAAAAAAUGCGACUCUGUUCAUGUGUCCUUUUGCUUAGUAGCCUUUAACAGCUUCUCAUUGCUCUUAGGAUGAAAACCCAGUCCCUAGUAUGACCUUCAAGGCUCCAUGUGGUCUGGCCCCUCUUGACCUCUGUGCCACACUGGCCUUUUAAGCUACAUCUGGUACCUUGGCUGGCAUUAUGGGAAUGAGAUUCUACAACUCUGGAAAAUUCAUGCCUGCAGGUUUAAUUGCAGGUGCCAGUUUGCUGAUGGCCGCCAAAGUUGGAGUUAGUAUGUUCAACAGACCCCAUUAGCAGAAGUCCUGUUCCAGCUUGCACUGAUGAAGAAUUAAAUAUCUGCAUCUUCCACUAUUUUCAAUGUAUUAACAGAAAUAAGUGCAGCAUUUUUGCAUCUGACAUUUUACCUUAAAAAAAAAAGACAUCAAACUUGGCGGAGGGGUGGAAAAUCAGUUGUUACCAUUAUAACCCUACAGAGGUUAUAAUGAGGAUGUAACAUGAGCUUAUUGAGACCCUCAGAGAGAUCGAUUCUUGUACAUUGAUGUUAUCUCUUCUUUCUGUAUCUAUAGGUAUAUCUCAAGGGUAAAAUGUUAGGUGUCAACUUUGAGGGCCCUGAAACCCCAUUCCGUGCUCUGAGGAACAGUGUGAAAAAAUCUCUUAUGAGAUUUAGAAUAUCUGUUCUUUUGCUCAUCUUAGAUUACAGACUGACUUUGAAAUUAUGUUAAGUGAAAUAUCAAUGAAAAUAAAGUUUACUAUAAAUAAUA